GAUGAAGAACGCAGCGAAAUGCGAUAAGUAAUGUGAAUUGCAGAGUUCAGUGAAUCAUCGAAUCUUUGAACGCACAUUGCGCCCCUUGGUAUUCCGAGGGGCAUGCCUGUUCGAGCGUCAUUAUAACCCCUCAAGCUCAGCUUGGUGUUGGGGCCUGCUGCACUGGCAGCCCUUAAAAUCAGUGGCGGCGCCAUCUGGCUCUAAGCGUAGUAAUUCUUCUCGCUAUGGAGUCCUGGUGGAUGCUUGCCAUCAACCCCCAAUUUUUCUAUGGUUGACCUCGGAUCAGGUAGGGAUACCCGCUGAACUUAAGCAUAUCAAUAGCGGAGGA
Molecule: unclassified non-coding RNA, 328 nt
Filed under: soil metagenome
Description: partial contains 5.8S ribosomal RNA, internal transcribed spacer 2, and large subunit ribosomal RNA
Rfam family: 5.8S ribosomal RNA (bases 1-120)
Source: RNAcentral